UGGGGAUUAGUCCAGUGGUAGGACGCCUGUCUCUGGAUCAGGAAGCGAGGGUUCGAAUCCCCCAUCCCCAGCCA
RNAcentral lists this transfer RNA (74 nucleotides) under SAR202 cluster bacterium MP-SInd-SRR3963457-G1. RNAcentral's name for it is "tRNA-Gln". It matches the Rfam family "tRNA". From Rfam's summary of the family: Transfer RNA (tRNA) molecules are approximately 80 nucleotides in length. Their secondary structure includes four short double-helical elements and three loops (D, anti-codon, and T loops). Lineage: Bacteria; Bacillati; Chloroflexota; Dehalococcoidia. RNAcentral also lists the same sequence under 4 other names. The record is from RNAcentral.